AUUGAACGCUGGCGGCAGGCCUAACACAUGCAAGUCGAGCGGAUGAAGGGAGCUUGCUUCUGGAUUCAGCGGCGGACGGGUGAGUAAUGCCUAGGAAUCUGCCUGGUAGUGGGGGAUAACGUCCGGAAACGGGCGCUAAUACCGCAUACGUCCUGAGGGAGAAAGUGGGGGAUCUUCGGACCUCACGCUAUCAGAUGAGCCUAGGUCGGAUUAGCUAGUUGGUGGGGUAAAGGCCUACCAAGGCGACGAUCCGUAACUGGUCUGAGAGGAUGAUCAGUCACACUGGAACUGAGACACGGUCCAGACUCCUACGGGAGGCAGCAGUGGGGAAUAUUGGACAAUGGGCGAAAGCCUGAUCCAGCCAUGCCGCGUGUGUGAAGAAGGUCUUCGGAUUGUAAAGCACUUUAAGUUGGGAGGAAGGGCAGUAAGUUAAUACCUUGCUGUUUUGACGUUACCAACAGAAUGAGCACCGGCUAACUUCGUG
RNAcentral lists this ribosomal RNA (484 nucleotides) under uncultured bacterium. RNAcentral describes it as "partial 16S ribosomal RNA". It matches the Rfam family "Bacterial small subunit ribosomal RNA", at positions 30 to 507 of the family's 1533-position model. The record is from RNAcentral.